Molecule: ribosomal RNA, 204 nt
Filed under: Triticum aestivum (bread wheat)
Lineage: Eukaryota; Viridiplantae; Streptophyta; Magnoliopsida; Poales; Poaceae
Description: partial small subunit ribosomal RNA
Source: RNAcentral
AUGAUAAAGAUCACCGACAUAUUCACUGGUCGAGCUGGGAGAAACUUACAAACCAAAAAAGCCAAUGAGGUAUGGGAUUCAAAGACCUUAGAGUUUUUAACCAGGAUCUCCUCGCUAGGCAAGCUUGGCGACUUAUUGCACAUCCUGACGGCUUGUGCGCGAGAGUACUCAAGGCUAAAUACUACCAUGGGGUUGAUCUGCUAG